GACGAACGCUGGCGGCGUGCCUAAUACAUGCAAGUUGAGCGAUGAAGAUUGGUGCUUGCACCAAUUUGAAGAGCAGCGAACGGGUGAGUAACGCGUGGGGAAUCUGCCUUUGAGCGGGGGACAACAUUUGGAAACGAAUGCUAAUACCGCAUAAUAACUUUAAACAUAAGUUUUAAGUUUGAAAGAUGCAAUUGCAUCACUCAAAGAUGAUCCCGCGUUGUAUUAGCUAGUUGGUGAGGUAAAGGCUCACCAAGGCGAUGAUACAUAGCCGACCUGAGAGGGUGAUCGGCCACAUUGGGACUGAGACACGGCCCAAACUCCUACGGGAGGAAGCAGUAGGGAAUCUUCGGCAAUGGACGAAAGUCUGACCGAGCAACGCCGCGUGAGUGAAGAAGGUUUUCGGAUCGUAAAACUCUGUUGGUAGAGAAGAACGUUGGUGAGAGUGGAAAGCUCAUCAAGUGACGGUAACUACCCAGAAAGGGACGGCUAACUACGUG
Molecule: ribosomal RNA, 497 nt
Filed under: uncultured bacterium
Lineage: Bacteria
Description: partial 16S ribosomal RNA
Rfam family: Bacterial small subunit ribosomal RNA
Source: RNAcentral